Amphimedon queenslandica is the source of this 205-nucleotide long non-coding RNA. RefSeq lists it as uncharacterized. The record is from RefSeq and is a predicted model, not a curated record. The transcript has 3 exons. NCBI's taxonomy places the organism in Eukaryota, Metazoa, Porifera, Demospongiae, Haplosclerida, Niphatidae.
GAAGAGCUGAUAGUGUUGAUGAUGUUGGUAAACCAUCUUUUAAUACACUGGCUAAUGCUCUUCACAAAAUGGAUUGCAAACCUCAAGCUGAAUAUAUAAAUGGAGAAGCUCAAGCAAGUGCUAGUGAUGAGGAAACUGAUGGACCUACAUUGACCCCACCACCACAAGAUGCUGUAAAUGUAAAUGAAUGGUUAGAAGAAGGCAC